Molecule: ribosomal RNA, 596 nt
Filed under: Debaryomyces hansenii
Lineage: Eukaryota; Fungi; Ascomycota; Pichiomycetes; Serinales; Debaryomycetaceae
Description: eukaryotic LSU rRNA
Rfam family: Eukaryotic large subunit ribosomal RNA
Source: RNAcentral
CGAUGCGGAGGAAAAGAAACCAACAGGGAUUGCCUUAGUAACGGCGAGUGAAGCGGCAAAAGCUCAAAUUUGAAAUCUGGCACCUUCGGUGUCCGAGUUGUAAUUUGAAGAAGGUAACUUUGGAGUUGGCUCUUGUCUAUGUUCCUUGGAACAGGACGUCACAGAGGGUGAGAAUCCCGUGCGAUGAGAUGCCCAAUUCUAUGUAAAGUGCUUUCGAAGAGUCGAGUUGUUUGGGAAUGCAGCUCUAAGUGGGUGGUAAAUUCCAUCUAAAGCUAAAUAUUGGCGAGAGACCGAUAGCGAACAAGUACAGUGAUGGAAAGAUGAAAAGAACUUUGAAAAGAGAGUGAAAAAGUACGUGAAAUUGUUGAAAGGGAAGGGCUUGAGAUCAGACUUGGUAUUUUGCGAUCCUUUCCUUCUUGGUUGGGUUCCUCGCAGCUUACUGGGCCAGCAUCGGUUUGGAUGGUAGGAUAAUGACUAAGGAAUGUGGCUCUACUUCGGUGGAGUGUUAUAGCCUUGGUUGAUACUGCCUGUCUAGACCGAGGACUGCGUCUUUUGACUAGGAUGUUGGCAUAAUGAUCUUAAGCCACCCGUCUUGA